RNAcentral lists this ribosomal RNA (643 nucleotides) under Phlegmacium papulosum. RNAcentral's name for it is "eukaryotic LSU rRNA". It matches the Rfam family "Eukaryotic large subunit ribosomal RNA", at positions 1 to 626 of the family's 3401-position model. Lineage: Eukaryota; Fungi; Basidiomycota; Agaricomycetes; Agaricales; Cortinariaceae. The record is from RNAcentral.
UGACCUCAAAUCAGGUAGGACUACCCGCUGAACUUAAGCAUAUCAAUAAGCGGAGGAAAAGAAACUAACAAGGAUUCCCCUAGUAACUGCGAGUGAAGCGGGAAAAGCUCAAAUUUAAAAUCUGUCAGUCUUCAUGAUUGUCCGAGUUGUAAUCUAGAGAAGUGUUAUCCGCGCUGGACCGUGUACAAGUCUCCUGGAAUGGAGCGUCAUAGAGGGUGAGAAUCCCGUCUUUGACACGGACUGCCAGGGGUUUGUGAUGCGCUCUCAAAGAGUCGAGUUGUUUGGGAAUGCAGCUCAAAAUGGGUGGUAAAUUCCAUCUAAAGCUAAAUAUUGGCGAGAGACCGAUAGCGAACAAGUACCGUGAGGGAAAGAUGAAAAGAACUUUGGAAAGAGAGUUAAACAGUACGUGAAAUUGCUGAAAGGGAAACGCUUGAAGUCAGUCGCGUUGUCCAGGGAUCAACCUUGCUUUUGCUUGGUGUACUUUCUGGUUGACGGGUCAGCAUCAAUUUUGACUGUUGGAAAAAGGUCAAGGGAAUGUGGCAUCUUCGGAUGUGUUAUAGCCCUUGGUUGUAUACAAUGGUUGGGAUUGAGGAACUCAGCACGCCGCAAGGCCGGGUAUUAACCACGUACGUGCUUAGGAUGC